CAGACAGACAGACAGACAGAGUGCAAACCUAAAGUCCCCUUCGACUUAGUCAGUAGGGGACUAAUAAACACAAUGCAAUUUUUUUCCAUUAAAGCAUUUAAUUUCAGCAAAAACAAAAACCUAUAGAAAUCAUUAACCAACAAAUAACAGCACAUUCAACAACAGGAAGUAGAUAUAGGUUAAGGGACAUAACUCUUCAAAAUCACUGCUACGUUUAAGGAAGUACACCACUAAUUCAUGGCCCCAUUGCUUUCUAUGUUAAAUUCAUCAAUUUCAUGCAGGCACAGCUCUUUUACUUUAAGUUCAAAUAAAGUGACAAUCAUUGCAUGUCAAAGCAACACUUUAUGGUGUCUUGUACUGAAAAAAUCAACAUACCUUUAAUGGCAUAUAAGAAAGAACUGGUUCCCGGAACUUCGGAUGUACCAAAACAGGUACUUCAGAUCUGACAAACAGGCAAAAUGUACCCUCAUUUUAAAAUUUGGUGCAUUUUUUUAAUAUUCAAAAUUAUAAGUCAAAAAGUGUUCUACAAUGAUCACCAGUCAUUCAGCUUUCAUUUGAUACCAAAAAUACCUAAAUAUUCUACAUAUUUUGAAAGUUACACUCAUGCGUAGGAACUAUUUUGUGUUAAAUAUGUACUACUUUCUGGUAUGUGCUUUCUGGCCGGGCCCGAAUUAGUGGUGUUACACCUUAAACUUCUAUGUAACACAGGUUAUAGAGUUAUCUCCCUUUACUAAGUUCUACUUUCUGAACAUAAAAAAAAAUAUUUCUAAGAUCAUUCCUUGCUUUCUUAAAUUAAUAAAUAACAAUAACAAAGGAGAAAGUCUGAUAAGGCCUUUUUUAUGGCCCCUUGAAUUUGAAAAUAGUUUCCUAAAUGAAUUUAAUAAUACCCUUCAGAUAUUCACAAGGCAUUUAUAGUCUGUCAGGUAUUAGUAUUCAUUCUUUUGAUAUGUGUUUUAUUCAUUUGCUUAGGGCUUCAAACAUCCUACAUUUCAUGCAAAACUUCAAAAUCUUCAAAAUAGGCACACUUUGGGUUCUUGUUAUUAUAUUUUGAUUUCUCAAAAAAUAUAAUUUCCUACAUGAUUUCUUAUACAAAAAUAUUAAUUUGGAUAACAUAUCUUUUUGGUUAAAUAUAAUGCCUUGCUUCAUACCUAAUUUUACAAAAAUAUGUCAAUUUUACAUGUUUACAAGUCACAUUUACAUCGCAAUAUACUUUUUUGAACUGAAUAUUCAGAUCAUAUCAUUUUAUUCAUUUAUCAUUAAAAUUUGACAUAAUUCUGAAAAGAUUGAGUAAAUUCACUAUAAUUACAAUUUCAGGGGGCCAAACAAUGGCCCUUAUCUUAGUUCUUCCAUUUCUGCAAAGUUUAACAAACAAACAAAAUAAUAAUAUUAUUAUGAACACAAAAAUAAGACAUUCAAGUCACAUAAAAGUUAAGUUGUCUUUCUGACACCAAUUCUUACAUAGUAAAGGCUUUAUAAUAUUUCAAUCAGUUUUACUAGCCAUGCUACAGUGUGUAUUUAACAAUUAUAUGCACACAAUUAUAGUAUAAGUAGAAAUUAUACACAUAAGGAUCAGUAAA
Molecule: long non-coding RNA, 1577 nt
Organism: Mytilus californianus (California mussel)
Lineage: Eukaryota; Metazoa; Mollusca; Bivalvia; Mytilida; Mytilidae
Exons: 2
Source: RefSeq, a predicted model, not a curated record